RNAcentral lists this ribosomal RNA (220 nucleotides) under Pseudomonas aeruginosa. RNAcentral describes it as "partial 23S ribosomal RNA". It matches the Rfam family "Bacterial large subunit ribosomal RNA", at positions 1 to 209 of the family's 2925-position model. The record is from RNAcentral. Lineage: Bacteria; Pseudomonadati; Pseudomonadota; Gammaproteobacteria; Pseudomonadales; Pseudomonadaceae.
GGGUUGUGAGGUUAAGCGACUAAGCGUACACGGUGGAUGCCCUGGCAGUCAGAGGCGAUGAAGGACGUGCUAAUCUGCGAUAAGCGUCGGUAAGGUGAUAUGAACCGUUAUAACCGGCGAUUUCCGAAUGGGGAAACCCAAUAUCUUUAAUAGGAUAUUAUCUACACGUGAAUUCAUAGCGUGAUGAUGGCAGACUCAGGGAACUGAAACAUCUAAGUAC